Molecule: ribosomal RNA, 415 nt
Filed under: uncultured bacterium
Lineage: Bacteria
Description: bacterial SSU rRNA
Rfam family: Bacterial small subunit ribosomal RNA
Source: RNAcentral
GGACCCGCACAAGCGGUGGAGUAUGUGGUUUAAUUCGAUGCAACACGAAGAACCUUACCAGGGUUUGAAAUCAUUUCAAAACUCCUUGAAAGAGGAGCCUCCUUCGGGAUGAAAUGACAGGUGGUGCAUGGCUGUCGUCAGCUCGUGUUGUGAAAUGUCGAGUUAAGUCUCGUAACGAGCGCAACCCAUGUCUCUUGUUGCUCACUGAGUGCUUAAGAGAGACUGCCGACCAACAUCCGGAGGAAGGUGUGGAUGAUGUCAAGUCAGCAUGCCCCUUACAUCCUGGGCUACACACGUACUACAAUGGUAGGGACAAUGAGCUGCGAUCCUGCGAAGGCUAGCCAAUCUCAAAAACCCUAUCUCAGUUCGGAUUGUAGGCUGCAACUCGCCUACAUGAAGGUGGAAUCGCUAGUAA